AGUCGAGGGGUAGAAGGGGCUUGCCCCUUCGAGACCGGCGCACGGGUGCGUAACGCGUAUGCAACCUACCUUCAACAGGGGGAUAGCCCAGAGAAAUUUGGAUUAAUACCCCAUGGCAUAUCGGUGCGGCAUCGCAUCGUUAUUAAAGUACCGACGGUUGGAGAUGGGCAUGCGUCCCAUUAGCUAGUUGGUGUGGUAACGGCACACCAAGGCGACGAUGGGUAGGGGUCCUGAGAGGGAGAUCCCCCACACUGGUACUGAGACACGGACCAGACUCCUACGGGAGGCAGCAGUGAGGAAUAUUGGUCAAUGGGCGCAAGCCUGAACCAGCCAUGCCGCGUGCAGGACGACGGCCCUAUGGGUUGUAAACUGCUUUUGUACGGGAAGAAACACCGGUUCGUGAACCGGCUUGACGGUACCGUAAGAAUAAGGAUCGGCUAACUCCGUGCCAGCAGCCGCGGUAAUACGGAGGAUCCAAGCGUUAUCCGGAAUCAUUGGGUUUAAAGGGUCCGUAGGCGGCCCUGUAAGUCAGCGGUGAAAUCUCCCGGCUCAACCGGGAAACUGCCGUUGAUACUGCAGGGCUUGAAUUGCAGGGAAGUGGCUAGAAUAUGUAGUGUAGCGGUGAAAUGCUUAGAGAUUACAUGGAAUACCGAUUGCGAAGGCAGGCCACUACCUGCGGAUUGACGCUGAUGGACGAAAGCGUGGGGAGCGAACAGGAUUAGAUACCCUGGUAGUCCACGCCGUAAACGAUGGAUACUAGCUGUCCGGCCGCAAGGCUGGGUGGCUAAGCGAAAGUGAUAAGUAUCCCACCUGGGGAGUAC
RNAcentral lists this ribosomal RNA (821 nucleotides) under uncultured Bacteroidota bacterium. Its description in RNAcentral is "bacterial SSU rRNA". It matches the Rfam family "Bacterial small subunit ribosomal RNA", at positions 60 to 883 of the family's 1533-position model. The record is from RNAcentral. Lineage: Bacteria; Pseudomonadati; Bacteroidota.